Molecule: ribosomal RNA, 465 nt
Filed under: uncultured bacterium
Lineage: Bacteria
Description: partial 16S ribosomal RNA
Rfam family: Bacterial small subunit ribosomal RNA
Source: RNAcentral
GACGAACGCUGGCGGCGUGCUUAACACAUGCAAGUCGAACGGAAAGGCCCCUUUGGGGGUACUCGAGUGGCGAACGAGUGAGUAACACGUGAGUAACCUGCCCUUGACUUCGGGAUAACUUCAGGAAACUGGGGCUAAUACCGGAUAGGAAUCCUUGCUGCAUGGUGGGGGUUGGAAAGCUUCGGCGGUUUUGGAUGGACUCGCGGCUUAUCAGCUUGUUGGUGGGGUAGUGGCUUACCAAGGCUUUGACGGGUAGCCGGCCUGAGAGGGCGACCGGCCACAUUGGGACUGAGAUACGGCCCAGACUCCUACGGGAGGCAGCAGUGGGGAAUAUUGCACAAUGGGCGGAAGCCUGAUGCAGCAACGCCGCGUGCGGGAUGACGGCCUUCGGGUUGUAAACCGCUUUCAGCAGGGGCGAAGCUUGUGGUGACGGUACCUGCAGAAGAAGCACCGGCUAACUACGUG